This is a non-coding RNA of Phascolarctos cinereus (koala), 793 nucleotides long. Lineage: Eukaryota; Metazoa; Chordata; Mammalia; Diprotodontia; Phascolarctidae. The record is from RefSeq and is a predicted model, not a curated record.
CUUGGAGUCAGUAACACCUGAAUUCAAAUCCAACCCUCAGCUUUUUCCUCUCUAUCCUGAAAUUAAGGUGGUUAAAGAAUCACAGAAGGCCUGAAUUGGAAAAGACAGAGGUCAUCUAGUCCAACCUUUACCUAAAUAAUGAUGAUACCUUCACUGUUUCUAAGAACUAGUAAUACAGCCUUCCACUUAAACAUCUUCAAUUAUAGAUGCUGGCAAUCAUCCCCAUCCGAUCCAGGAGUUUGAGCCACGGCAACCUUGGAGCCAGGAAUGCAAGUAGGAUGCUGUAGCCAGCCCAACAAGGAAGCUCAGAGAAGCCAGGGUGCCUGAAACCCAAGGCCAACAAGGGUUUUGGACUUGGAACUGGCACUGUAUGUCCUAUGGGAAAUGAGCUAAAAUAUGAAUGUAAUCCUCUUUUCUUCUCCAGAAACUGAGGUGGUGCAAAGGAGGGGGGAGGCUGGGUGGGGAAUUAUACCUCCCACAUGUUCAAAGGAAUAAAUUUAUAUAUGUGAUUAUAUUUUUUGAAGUGAAUAUUUUAGCAUAUAAGUUAAUGUGACUGUUGGUGGCUAAAUCUAACUAGGGGUGUAGCAGGACUCCCACCAACAACUGAAGAAACAACAUUAGUGGGGACAUUUUCAGAGAACCUAGACACACCUCCAAUCAUUCUCUUAAUGACACUGGAGUACUCUGGGAGAGGAGUGAAAUGUAACAUACCUGGCCUUCAGGCCAGGGUGGUCUGUGUUAACACUUAAAAUAACAACUCUGGGAGGUUUUAUCAUCCCCAUUUUACAGCUGA